Molecule: ribosomal RNA, 215 nt
Filed under: uncultured bacterium
Lineage: Bacteria
Description: partial 16S ribosomal RNA
Rfam family: Bacterial small subunit ribosomal RNA
Source: RNAcentral
UCUGCCCGAGAGUGGGGAACAACUCCUCGAAAGAGGAGCUAAUACCGCAUACAACAGUCUCCUGGUGAAACGGGAAGACAAAAGCCUCGCAAGGGGCGCUCUUGGAGGAGCCUGCGGCUGAUUAGCUAGUUGGUGGGGUAAAAGCCUACCAAGGCGAUGAUCAGUAGCUGGUCUGAGAGGAUGGACAGCCACACUGGGACUGAGAUACGGCCCAG